UACGAAGGGAGCUAGCGUUGUUCGGAAUUACUGGGCGUAAAGCGUGCGUAGACGGUUACGUAAGUCGGGUGUGAAAGCCCCGGGCUCAACCUGGGAAUUGCAUUCGAGACUGCAUAGCUAGGGUGCGGAAGAGGGAAGCGGAAUUUCCGGUGUAGCGGUGAAAUGCGUAGAUAUCGGAAGGAACACCAGUGGCGAAAGCGGCUUCCUGGUCCAGCACCGACGUUCAGGCACGAAAGCGUGGGGAGCAAACAGG
This 253-nucleotide ribosomal RNA is filed under the name uncultured bacterium. RNAcentral describes it as "partial 16S ribosomal RNA". It matches the Rfam family "Bacterial small subunit ribosomal RNA", at positions 524 to 776 of the family's 1533-position model. The record is from RNAcentral.